RNAcentral lists this transfer RNA (73 nucleotides) under Candidatus Kaiserbacteria bacterium CG10_big_fil_rev_8_21_14_0_10_44_10. RNAcentral describes it as "tRNA-Ala". It matches the Rfam family "tRNA". Rfam says of the family: Transfer RNA (tRNA) molecules are approximately 80 nucleotides in length. Their secondary structure includes four short double-helical elements and three loops (D, anti-codon, and T loops). The record is from RNAcentral. Lineage: Bacteria; Candidatus Kaiseribacteriota.
GGGCCCAUAGCUCAGCUGGUAGAGCGCGCGCAUGGCAUGCGCGAGGUCAGGAGUUCGAGCCUCCUUGGGUCCA